RNAcentral lists this ribosomal RNA (392 nucleotides) under uncultured bacterium. Its description in RNAcentral is "partial 16S ribosomal RNA". It matches the Rfam family "Bacterial small subunit ribosomal RNA", at positions 523 to 918 of the family's 1533-position model. The record is from RNAcentral.
AUACGGAGGAUCCGAGCGUUAUCCGGAUUUAUUGGGUUUAAAGGGUGCGCAGGCGGCCAUUUAAGUCAGCGGUUAAAUCGUGGGGCUCAACCCCAUUCUGCCGUUGAUACUGGGUGGCUUGAUUGCGGUCGAGGUUGGCGGAAUUCGUUGUGUAGCGGUGAAAGUCAUAGAUAUGACGAAGAACACCGAUUGCGUAGGCAGCUGACCAGACCGCAAAUGACGCUCAUGCACGAAAGUGCGGGGAUCGAACAGGAUUAGAUACCCUGGUGUUUUUCACAGUAAACGAUGAAUACUUGUUUUCGGCGAUAUAAUGUCGGAGGCAAAGCGAAAGCGAUAAGUAUUCCACCUGGGGAGUACGCCGGCAACGGUGAAACUCAAAGGAAUUGACGGGG